AUGGAACUCAGGCAGUGGCGCGCCAUUCCUAUCGCCGUCGUCACACCGCUGACCCCGUCACCGCCAGCAACAGCAGAAGGGGCCGUGUGUACACCGCAUGCCACGCCGUUUCCAACGUGGCGGAGCACAGCCACGCGGCCGGGGCGCUCGGACUCCGCCCGCUCUUCGGCGUACCCGCCGGCUCAACCUGCGCGGUCGGCGGCUCCGGCACGACGGAACCCCCGCGGAGUCGUCAUCCGUGCGCUCGACCACGCAAGAGGGCUUCAGCCAUGUGGACCACGCGGGAGCAGGAUCCGCGCUCGGACCCGUCCUCUCCGGGCUCCCGUUCGUGGAGCGCGCCGACGUAGCGGCCAGCCACAGCGGACACCCUCGUUUCUCCCAGGAGUGCCACAACGUCGCCGACGUGGCAGGGCACGACCUGGACGCUCGGGUUCGGGCUAUCCCCGCUCCUCGGCGGCUCCACCUCCGUCACCACGGGAGUGCGACUCGACCUGGGUGAUGAAGGUGGCGAGGGCCACGGCGAGGAGGACGUCAAUGCCGUGGGCCUCGCGGGAGCAAGAUCCGCGCUCGGCCCUGUCCCCGUCGAGUUCCCGUCGUCCGUGGCACACACAAGCUCUACUCACGGCCAACCAUAACGGACGCCGCUGUCUCUCCACGGAGUGCCAUGCCGUUGCCGACGCGGUGGGGCACGGCUGCAGGGCCGGGGCGCUCGGGCUCCGCCCCCUCCUUGGCACACCCGCCCGCUUCCUCGUGGGCUCCAUCUCGGGCGUGACUGGUCUCCAAGGCAGAGUCGUGGUCGGCGCGCUCAACAUGUGGAGAUGGCGAGGGCGAGGAGGACGUCACGGACGAGCUCAGGUUUCAGGAUGCUCAUCGCCAUAUACAGGCCGUUCUCCACUUGAUUUAUGUCAGGAGUCGAAUCAAAACUGCGGUUCACUGUUCACAUUGGGUCUUCUAUCUGCUGGUAAAAGAACUCAAAGCAUGCGUGACGCAAUCAGACACAUCGGUCCGACGGCGCCGGUGUACCAUUGGAAAAUCAAUAGGUGUGAUGCUGUCUUGCGGGAAGUCAUGGGAGAAAAUCUUCACAAGGAAGUGAUCGUCGCGUCGCCAAAGGAGGACGAAGGCGAUUUUGGCUGCAUCGUCAUCUGUGGGAAUGAAAUUCUUCACGGAGUUGCCAACUUCAUGGUAGCCAACCAACCUUCUCUCACUUCUCUUUGUUAG
This 1218-nucleotide ribosomal RNA is filed under the name Triticum aestivum (bread wheat). Its description in RNAcentral is "partial small subunit ribosomal RNA". The record is from RNAcentral. Lineage: Eukaryota; Viridiplantae; Streptophyta; Magnoliopsida; Poales; Poaceae.